This 437-nucleotide ribosomal RNA is filed under the name uncultured prokaryote. RNAcentral describes it as "partial 16S ribosomal RNA". The record is from RNAcentral.
CCCUCUGGGUGCAGCAGGCGCAAAACCAGCAGUCAAUGCAGGCAGCGCUUGAGCAGCAGGAGCGUGUCAAGUCUCAGAUCCAGAUGGUGCUCAUGCAGGCUCUCGAACCCAAUGCACGGGAACGCCUCAAUACCAUCAAGCUGACCAAGCCGGAAUUUGCCGGUGCCGUGGAACAGCAGCUUGUGCAGCUCGCCCAGAGCGGGCGUCUCAAGCAGAAAAUUACGGAUGCACAGCUCAAAGAACUGCUCCGGCAGAUUGCGCCGGCCAAGCGGGAUUACUCAAUCACACGCAAGUGAUGAAAGCAGGAGUGCUUUACAGCGGCGGGAAGGACAGUUCCCUUGCAGCAAUAAUGCUGGGUACGUAUUAUGAGGUUGAACUCAACACGUUUGUGUUUGACCCGGCCCGCUUAAUCCCCACAAUUGAAUUGGCGGGAGAGC